GGGGACGCCGGCGACUCAGUAGUAAGGUGCUUUCGCCCUCUUGCUGUACUUGGGCAGCGGGGAGUCUGGGCAGGAACACUCUUCCAGCAAAGGAGCUGGACCCAGCACGGAUCAUCGGGGAUUGAAGACCCAGCCCUGGCCCUCACAGGAGGAGCCAACAGCACCACGCCAGUUACUUCCAACCAGACAGUCCCGGGCAGGGAUGCCAGCAGACAGCUGGCACGGGAGGAAGCCUAAAAUAACCCAGACAGCUGGGGUGAGGGGGUGCCAUGGGCACAGGCACUGGCUGCCAAGUCAAGCCACCUGGAACCCCAUCCUGGCUCUAUUGGUGGUGACCUUGGGGAGUCACUUCUCCCCGGACCAUGGGUGGGUGACCCAAAUCUUGACCCCAUCAUGGAACAGCCCCUGUGGAUGGGGAAAGGCCUGCAGCUGGACUCAACCACUCCAGAGGAGAACCGCGUUGGCCGCCUUCCCAGGGAGCGCCAGAUUCCCCUUUGCCCUGAGGCAGGGACACGUGCUUCAGCAGGUGGGCUGGUGCAGGGGGAAGCUCUGAGGCAGCCCAGCCCCCACCCCCUGCAGCCACUCCCAGCAAUAGCCACGAUCACAAUGGAGGCCAACUAAAAGCUUGGGAGGAGGGCCUCUUUAACGCACUUAAUCCUCCCACCACCCUUUCCAGCAGGCAUCCUUAUCACUUUACAGGGAGACACUCACCCAAGGUCACCAGCACUGAGAGAUCCUAGCCCAUGGCGAACUGACUAUCUCCCUUAACUUAGCACCAAGAUACCUUUAGCAAGAUCUCCGUGUUAAUCCCCACAGGCCCCCAGAGCUCAGUGUAGCCCUCACAGCGGGAGUGGGGCACCUGGACCCAAAUGGUUCAUCAAAGCAAUCACAAAGCAGAGAUCACAAGGAGGGGGGCUCCGAGACCAAGGGCCGCCAUCUCCAGCUGUGGAGCUUCUUAGACACUGAGAUGGGAAACUAUUCAAUACAUGAAGUCGGCUAGCGUUAGAAUGAAAUCAAUUACUAUGUGCCAAGCGUGGAACGUGGCACUUCUGCGUCAAAACCCCAGGUGUUACCAGGCUAGGGGCUGGAGUCUCAAAAUGUGUUCCCAGACCACAGCAUCAGCCUCACCUCACCUGGGAACUUGUUAGAAAUGCCAGUCCUAAGGACCAACCCACUGAAUCAGACACUUGGGCACCAGGCCCGGUGGUCCAUUUUCAGUGAGCCCCCUUUCCGGUGUGAUUCUGAUGCCGGUUCCAGACUAAGAACCACUGAUCUAGCCCUGUUUUCGGAGAUGGAGAAAUAGGCUUGGAGGCUAUGCCGCUUACGCAAGGCCAUAGCUGUUCAAUGGCUCCCCAGGUUUCAAAUCCAGCUUUGUCUGGUUCUAGAAACAAGGCUUAUAUACAGGCCUGCCCAUUCGGGGACUGGAGAAGAAAACAAUCCCAAGAAGGUGGAGAAGCGUCAAGGAAGGCCCUUUCAUAGAGAAAGCUGGCCGGAACCUCGGGUCUCUGUUCUUUGCCUCUCUAGCAGCCAGACAUCAGAGAACGGCUCACACUGUCACCCCACAUGCCCCACGGGGGCGGCUGGAGGGAAGGCCACAGCACAGUUGGGCUUUCUGGCAGUGACCUGUGUCUUUCAGAAGUAGGCGGCACCCAGGGCCCUCCCCCCGCCGAAGAACACACAACUGGGAAAUACUUGCAAGUGGAUCCUCUCGUAUGCUGCUAUAUUCGGCAGAGAAUUACAC
RNAcentral lists this long non-coding RNA (1741 nucleotides) under Pan troglodytes (chimpanzee). Its description in RNAcentral is "long non-coding RNA NONPTRT003693". The record is from RNAcentral. Lineage: Eukaryota; Metazoa; Chordata; Mammalia; Primates; Hominidae.